This 460-nucleotide ribosomal RNA is filed under the name uncultured bacterium. RNAcentral's name for it is "partial 16S ribosomal RNA". It matches the Rfam family "Bacterial small subunit ribosomal RNA", at positions 338 to 795 of the family's 1533-position model. The record is from RNAcentral.
CCUACGGGAGGCAGCAGUGAGGAAUAUUGGUCAAUGGGCGCGAGCCUGAACCAGCCAAGUAGCGUGAAGGAUGACUGCCCUACGGAUUGUAAACUUCUUUUAUAAAGGAAUAAAGUGAGGCACGUGUGCCUUUUUGUAUGUACUUUAUGAAUAAGGAUCGGCUAACUACGUGCCAUCAGCCGCGGUAAUACGGAGGAUCCGAGCGUUAUCCGGAUUUAUUGGGUUUAACGGGAGCGUAGAUGGGUUGUUAAGUCAGUUGUGAAAGUUUGCGGCUCAACCGUAAAAUUGCAAUUGAUACUGGCAGUCUUGAGUACAGUUGAGGUAGGCGGAAUUCGUGGUGUAGCGGUGAAAUGCUUAGAUAUCACGAAGAACUCCGAUUGCGAAGGCAGCUUACUAAACUGCCACUGACAUUGAUGCUCGAAAGUGUGGGUAUCAAACAGGAUUAGAUACCCUGGUAGUC